UUUGCAAGUGAUGAUCAACAAGGGACUUAAUACUGAAAUCUUAGUGAUGUCACCUUACUAUGUAUCUGAUAUAG
This 74-nucleotide small nucleolar RNA is filed under the name Hippocampus comes (tiger tail seahorse). RNAcentral's name for it is "Small nucleolar RNA SNORD82 (ENSHCOG00000000319.1)". Lineage: Eukaryota; Metazoa; Chordata; Actinopteri; Syngnathiformes; Syngnathidae. The record is from RNAcentral.